Molecule: ribosomal RNA, 451 nt
Filed under: uncultured organism
Description: partial 16S ribosomal RNA
Rfam family: Bacterial small subunit ribosomal RNA
Source: RNAcentral
UACACUCCUACGGGAGGCAGCAGUGGGGAAUAUUGGACAAUGGGCGCAAGCCUGAUCCAGCCAUGCCGCGUGAGUGAUGAAGGCCCUAGGGUUGUAAAGUUCUUUCACCGGUGAAGAUAAUGACGGUAACCGGAGAAGAAGCCCCGGCUAACUUCGUGCCAGCAGCCGCGGUAAUACGAAGGGGGCUAGCGUUGUUCGGAUUUACUGGGCGUAAAGCGCACGUAGGCGGACUAUUAAGUCAGGGGUGAAAUCCCGGGGCUCAACCCCGGAACUGCCUUUGAUACUGGUAGUCUUGAGUUCGAGAGAGGUGAGUGGAAUUCCGAGUGUAGAGGUGAAAUUCGUAGAUAUUCGGAGGAACACCAGUGGCGAAGGCGGCUCACUGGCUCGAUACUGACGCUGAGGUGCGAAAGCGUGGGGAGCAAACAGGAUUAGAAACCCUUGUAGUCCCAUG